This 712-nucleotide long non-coding RNA is filed under the name Ursus maritimus (polar bear). Its description in RNAcentral is "lncRNA (ENSUMAG00000020680.1)". Lineage: Eukaryota; Metazoa; Chordata; Mammalia; Carnivora; Ursidae. The record is from RNAcentral.
AUGUACCAGACUUUCCAAAUAAUCUUGCCAUCUGGAAGCCCAUUCUUGGUCUUUAAAGUAUUUAAAGGUUUUGCAAAAGUGCUCAUAGGUGAAACAGCAGGAAGCAUCUACAACCAUCUCAGAGGGAGCCUUCUGCUUCCAGGAAUAAAGUCACACAUUCACAGGUGCUUCCUGUUUUUUCAAACACUUUGCCCACCUUCUGCACACCAAGCUUGCAUUCUGCAAAACGUGAGCCCAACAGGAAGCUGCCUGCAAAUUCAGGUAGCUUUUCUUACUCUUAACCAGGUCUUGAAAAUACUUUCAGAGAAAUGCCAGCAAAAACUACAGUCAUCUGGGGAAGAACAAACCUGGAAGAAAAAUACACAGAGGACUAGCACCAAGAGGAAAGGAAGGUGGAGAAAUGGAGAACAGGAUAAAGGCCUGGAAUCCUUGCUACUCCAGAAAGCUAAUAGCCAUGAUUGGCCAGUGAGAAGAGGGAGGAGGAAGGACUUCAAUGACCCCAGAAGAUUUCAGAGCAGAGAAGAGAGCGGCAUUAGCCUGGCACUGUUCUUUGGUACCAAGUCCCCCUGUCAACCACUGCAAUCUGCAUGCACUCUCUAAAAAGAAGAAGAAGUAGAAGAAGAAGAAAAAGAAAGAAAUAUUAUGAAGAACUUUAUGCCAAUAACGUAACAACUUUAAUAAAAUGCACAUAUGUACUGAAUAGUAUGAGCUU